RNAcentral lists this ribosomal RNA (906 nucleotides) under Triticum aestivum (bread wheat). Its description in RNAcentral is "partial small subunit ribosomal RNA". The record is from RNAcentral. Lineage: Eukaryota; Viridiplantae; Streptophyta; Magnoliopsida; Poales; Poaceae.
GUGCUACGCAUCGGCACGUCCAUCUCGGUUGGCUCCGGGUCCUCGGCCCUGUUCUGGUUCGAUCGUUGGGUAGGGGACCCCCUGGCCGCUCGAUUCCUGGAUCUAUUUGCCAUUGCGGUCGACCCUCGGGUCUCUGUCGAGACGACCCUUAUUGACUUAGGGCGUCUCGCUUUCCAGCGCCCCUUCGGCCCCCUUGAGGUGGCCGCUUGGGACUCCCUCCUCCAGGACAUCGCCCUUCUUCCGAUGGAUGUCGAGGGCGCCCCUGACUCCAUCUCUUGGCGACUGGAGUCCUCCGGCCGCUACUCCACUACCCUAUACCCGACCAUCGCCCCCUCGUCGGCUUCUGAGCCCUUUAGCCUUAUAUGGGAAAUUCGCCUGCCUUUGAAGAUCAGGAUCUUCCUGUGGCAGUGGAUCCGGGGACGCCUUCCCUGUAGGGUAGAGGUCCUCAAGCGCAAUGGACCAGGCGACGGGAUAUGUCCCUUGUGUGGCACGGUGGAGGAUGCUAAUCACAUCUUCUUCUCUUGCACCACAGCCCAGUUCCUGUGGUCCUGCUUCCGUGAGACGGUCAAUGGACAGUGGUGCAACACCAACUUCCCUGACCUAUUUGUGGAGAUCCACGCCUCCGCCCCUCGCCACUGCCAUAUUAGAUGGCUGUACAUCGGGGUCCUCGCCUGGACGCUUUGGACCAUUCACAACAAGCUUGUUAUUCAGAAAGUGCCUCUUCGACGUGCGACUAACGCAAUCUUCAAAAUGUGUGGUUACUUGGAGCUCUGGCGACCGCUUAGCCGCCCCCAGGAUCAGGAUGCCAUCAACACCCUCCUCACCGACCUUUGCUCGAUGGCCUUCCGCGUGGCACUGCUACCUCUUGAGCACUGCGUUGGUUUUCCCUUGAAGAGGAAAGGGUGA